AGCAGUCAUGUCAGCGGCCCGGUCAGCAGCCCCGGCCAACCAGGCCAUGCCGCAUGGCAAGGAAACGCUGACACGGGACGGGCCACAUGGGCGAUCCGCGUGUGCGCGAUCGAACGGCUCAGAUCUGUUCCCGCGCGCACGGACGGCCCAGAUCAAACAUGCUCACGGACGGCCCAGAUUCACGCGUACGGACGACCCAGAUUGCAUCGUGAUGGACGGCCAAGAUUUAGUCCCAAUUUAAUCGUGAUCGAACGGUCCUGAUUUAAUCUUGAUGGAC
RNAcentral lists this long non-coding RNA (277 nucleotides) under Carica papaya (papaya). Its description in RNAcentral is "long non-coding RNA (CPAP_LNC001108)". The record is from RNAcentral. Lineage: Eukaryota; Viridiplantae; Streptophyta; Magnoliopsida; Brassicales; Caricaceae.